This 406-nucleotide ribosomal RNA is filed under the name uncultured bacterium. Its description in RNAcentral is "partial 16S ribosomal RNA". It matches the Rfam family "Bacterial small subunit ribosomal RNA", at positions 30 to 526 of the family's 1533-position model. The record is from RNAcentral.
AUUGAACGCUGGCGGCAGGCCUAACACAUGCAAGUCGAACGAUUGGCGGACGGGUGAGUAAUGUCUGGGAAACUGCCUGAUGUAGGGGGAUAACUACUGGAAACGGUAGCUAAUACCGCAUACCAUCGGAUGUGCCCAGAUGGGAUUAGCGAGUAGGUGGGGUAAAGGCUCACCUAGGCGACGAUCCCUAGCUGGGCUGAGAGGCUGACCAGCCACACUGGGACUGAGACACGGUCCAGACUCCUACGGGAGGCAGCAGUGGGGAAUAUUGCGCAAUGGGCGAAAGCCUGACGCAGCAAUGCCGCGUGUAUGAAGAAGGCCUUCGGGUUGUAAAGUACUUUCAGCGGGGAGGCGUUACCCACCGAAGAAGCACCGGCUAACUCCGUGCCAGCCGCCGCGGUAAUAC